ACAUGCCUACAACAUAGAGUUAAUGCAUUGGAUCUCGUUAGAAAUCUGUAGUUAAGCGUGCUCAAGAUAGAGUAGUACUGGGAUGGUUGAUCGCCUGGGAAGUCCUAGUGUUUUACAUGCC
Molecule: non-coding RNA, 121 nt
Organism: Picea glauca (white spruce)
Lineage: Eukaryota; Viridiplantae; Streptophyta; Pinopsida; Pinales; Pinaceae
Source: Rfam